AAGCUCGUAGUUGAAUUUCGGGGUUAGUAGGUUGGUCAUGCCUCUGGUAUGUACUGGUCUCACUGAUUCCUCCUUCCUUAUGAACCGUAAUGCCAUUAAUUUGGUGUUGCGGGGAAUUUGGACUGUUACUUUGAAAAAAUUAGAGUGUUUAAAGCAAGCUAACGCUUGAAUACAUUAGCAUGGAAUAAUGAAAUAGGACGUUCGAUCUUAUUUUGUUUGGUUUUCUUAGGGUUGACGUAAUGAUUAAUAGGGAUAGUUGGG
This 261-nucleotide ribosomal RNA is filed under the name uncultured Glomus. RNAcentral describes it as "partial 18S ribosomal RNA". It matches the Rfam family "Eukaryotic small subunit ribosomal RNA", at positions 624 to 886 of the family's 1831-position model. Lineage: Eukaryota; Fungi; Glomeromycota; Glomeromycetes; Glomerales; Glomeraceae. The record is from RNAcentral.